This 320-nucleotide ribosomal RNA is filed under the name uncultured bacterium. RNAcentral's name for it is "bacterial SSU rRNA". It matches the Rfam family "Bacterial small subunit ribosomal RNA", at positions 32 to 339 of the family's 1533-position model. The record is from RNAcentral.
AAUCAACGCUGGCGGCGUGCCUAACACAUGCAAGUCGAACGCGGUUAUUCAGCAAUGGGUAGCCGAGUGGCGAACGGGUGAGUAACACGUGGGUGACCUACCUUCGAAUGGGGGAUAACGUCCCGAAAGGGACGCUAAUACCGCAUAACAUCCUGUCCUUGAACGGAUGGAGAUCAAAGCCGGGGAUCGCAAGACCUGGCGUUUGAAGAGGGGGCCCNCGUCCGAUUAGCUAGUUGGGAGGUAUGCUCACCAAGCGACGAUCGGUAACCGGCCUGAGAGGGCGGACGGUCACACUGGGACUGAGACACGGCCCAGACUCC